Molecule: long non-coding RNA, 1678 nt
Organism: Sorghum bicolor (sorghum)
Lineage: Eukaryota; Viridiplantae; Streptophyta; Magnoliopsida; Poales; Poaceae
Exons: 4
Source: RefSeq, a predicted model, not a curated record
CCUCCUUAAGGUCCUCACUGGUCGCCGCCACCGAUUCGGUGCCCUUCCUCUCCGCAGCUUGCUGGUGGCCGUGCCCCCUCCUGUGCGCUGGACUAGGUCUGCCAGCCACUAGCCGCGGUAGAUCUGCCGCUGCCCCUCCCAUCCCGUACGCUGGCUUAAACACUCCUGAUUUAGCCACCGCCCCUUCCGUUGCGAUGGAUCUGCCCUACCCGCCGGGCAAGUGGCGGUGGAGGUCAACGAUGGUGGUGGGAUCUUGAUUUCGGCAUGAAGUAAUGGGAUGGGGAUUUGGAUUGGGGCACUAAGAAACUGGUUUGGCUGAUGGGGGAUUUGGAUUGGGGCACUAAGAAACUGGUUUGGCUUGAUGGGAUCUUGGUAUUGGGGAACUCAAUUUUGAUGGUAUGAUGUUCAAUCCGCCAUGGAUUAGGGAUCGUGUGUGUAUGGUGUAGGGGGAGGGCGUUGCUUUUGAAUACCGCAUCAUCAUGUGAUUUUAUUUGCGAUGGUGUAGGGGGAGGGCGUUGCUUUUGAACAGUUCAUCUUCAUGUGAUUUUAUUUGGGACUUGUUUAGUACUUCAGAUUAUAUUUCACAUAUUUAGAUAUUUGAAUCUGGAACGAAAUGGCUAACUGUCCUGUUAGAUACUUGGAUAGAGCACAAAUUUAGAGAUUUAUAAAUUGUUUAUGAUCUUGCUGUGAUGACCUGACAUGUGAGUGUGACUGAACUCAACUGAGAACUUGACACCUUCACAUCUCGUGGCCACAACUCCCUCCUGCAACUUUCCUCUGCAUUUUUCUAGCUUUUAGGAUCAAGUGUCUGUUUUGUUCAAUGCUAAGUGGGUUUCCUGUAUAUAUUGCAGUGCUCUACAAUUCUAAAAUUGCAGCUAUACACUAGUACCUAAAAUUGCAGUAUAUGAUCCCAAUUAAGGAUCAGCAUAUACAGUAGUACCUAAAAUUGAAGUGCACCCUCAAUAAGUUUGCUAACAUCUUAUUUCACUGUAUAUGAUGGCAGUGAUCUAUUUUGCUGUUUACACACUUUCUUCUUCAAUUUAUCAUGCAAAUUCAGUUCUUCCCUCAUGAAGCCUCAAAAUGGGUGCAGAAUUAAAUAUCUUCCAAUUAUUGACAGUCUCUCCUCUCCAGGUUAUGAAUAUUAAUUUCCAUUCAUGUCACUUAUGUAGGUAUUGUUGAUGGAAAUCGACAAGGCUUUUCAGUUGCAAAUGCAGUUCUUCUUAGCCUAGUAUAUCUCUAUUUUGAAACAUGGAGACUGCUAUACUUCGCUGCGGAUGAAAGCAUGUAGCCUGCAUACUUUCUAAGCUACGCCCUGAUCUAGUGUUGUCAUGGCUGAUCUAGUCUGGUGUUGUUGCUAUCCCAGGACACCUGCCCAAGCGUGGAUACAAAGAAGCUUUUUUAAUGGAAAAAUGACUAGGAUGCUCUUUUUUAAAAGGAUCAGCCUGGGAGCAGUUGGCCUACAUUGAGCUGACAGGAAAGGAGGUAGAUAGGAGGUAUAUGCGAGGCCAUUUAUUCUAUAAAGCAACUGUUACUCAUGUAAUCACUUACAAUUUAACAAUGUCAUGUAUCAUGAUCAUGAGAACUUAUACAGUAAAGUGUGAAGUAUUUUGUGUACUGCUAUGAAAUGUACCAUAUUGUGAAACAUGGGAUUCAGAAAUGUACACUGUGGAUCUAGAUA